UGGGGGAUAUUGCACAAUGGAGGAAACUCUGAUGCAGCAACGCCGCGUGAAGGAAGAAGGUUUUCGGAUUGUAAACUUCUAUCAGCAGGGAAGAAAAUGACUGUACCUGACUAAGAAGCCCCGGCUAACUACGUGCCAGCAGCCGCGGUAAUACGUAGGGGGCAAGCGUUAUCCGGAAUUACUGGGUGUAAAGGGUACGUAGGCGGUCCGAUAAGUCAGAUGUGAAAGCCCGAGGCUCAACCUCGGGACUGCAUUUGAAACUGUCAGACUAGAGUACAGGAGAGGUAAGUGGAAUUCCUAGUGUAGCGGUGAAAUGCGUAGAUAUUAGGAAGAACACCAGUGGCGAAGGCGGCUUACUGGACUGUAACUGACGCUGAGGUACGAAAGCGUGGGGAGCGAACAGG
Molecule: ribosomal RNA, 404 nt
Filed under: uncultured bacterium
Lineage: Bacteria
Description: bacterial SSU rRNA
Rfam family: Bacterial small subunit ribosomal RNA
Source: RNAcentral